CUUAAGGGAUCAGGGUAUUCCCACAGGCCGCAGUAGAUCCAGCAAACAAGACAUGGGUAGUUCUGCUCGAAAAGUUUCUGUGUCAGAGACUGCAAGAGAUGGUCGAAAAUGCCUUGCUUAGGAAGCCUGGAGGAGAGGAUAUUCUUGAAGAGUACAAGUCAGAAAAUUCACUGAGCCACCGCACCCGGAGACAGCUUGUCAACAUAUUGGCAAGUGAUAUGACCGAGAGACAUGGCAGGAUUCCUACCCGUCAGCAGAGGGAGAAGUAUGCCCUGGGAAUUAUUACUCUUUCCUUCAAAGGGCUAUGUAAGUUUUGCAGUGAUAGUAAGAAAACAUUGCACAGAUUACAGUUUUAGUUUUCAUCAUGGAAUAACUACUGUAGCUAAUAAAAGUGAAACGAUUGAAAAAUUCUGCUAUUUGGUGUUAUUUUGGUUUUGAUAGUGACUACAAAUGUAGUGUCAUAGAUAGAACCACAAUUGAAACUGGUGUAGGUUAUAAAGUUCAACUGGUCAAAGAUGCAAAAUCACAAUCAAUGGCCCUGAUUCAAAAGGACUCCGAUUCAUAUUGCAUCUUAAUAUGAAAAUAGAACGCCUAUAACAUAAGUGAUUGUUCUUCUUGUUUUUUUUUGCUGCAUCUGCACUUGCUGUAAGAUCCUUUUGUGAUGUUCAUUAGUUCGUUUAAAUUUAACUUACUAAACUAAAUUAAAAUUCAACAUUUCUAUGAUGGGGAGAAAUGCAGUGGAUAUUUAGCGUGGCGCCUCAAGACCAUAUCCAGGAGUACCGUUAAACAGCCAGCCAAGGAAACCUCAGUGCCUCAAGAACAAGGGCCAAAGCGCUGAAGAUCAGCAAACACACUGCCUCAGCAGCUUGAUGGAGAUGCCUGCAGAGAGGCUAUUUCAUUUCUUUUUCAACUCCUGAUGAAGCAAGUGUACUUCAGAAGAUGAUGGAUGACAUUCCAACAUCGCCAGGACCUAGUGUAUGACCCACAAAGAACCGCAGAUGUCUUCAAAACAUUUACACGCUUUUUGGAUGUCAAAGGCCUAGUAAAUCAAGACUUCCUGCUGCUCUUUGGUGUUGAAACAAGCUCCAAGUUGCUUCAGAAGUGGGACACCUCAUUCAAGCCCAAGCCUUGUCUCCCCCCUCCCCGAUAGGCUGGG
Alosa alosa (allis shad) is the source of this 1156-nucleotide long non-coding RNA. RefSeq lists it as uncharacterized. The record is from RefSeq and is a predicted model, not a curated record. Lineage: Eukaryota; Metazoa; Chordata; Actinopteri; Clupeiformes; Clupeidae. The transcript is spliced from 5 exons.